Molecule: transfer RNA, 74 nt
Filed under: Tissierellia bacterium
Lineage: Bacteria; Bacillati; Bacillota; Tissierellia
Description: tRNA-Cys
Rfam family: tRNA
About the family: Transfer RNA (tRNA) molecules are approximately 80 nucleotides in length.
Source: RNAcentral
GGUGAUAUAGCCAAGUGGUAAGGCACGGGUCUGCAACACCCUCACCGCCGGUUCAAAUCCGGCUAUCACCUCCA